GACGUAGGUGGCGAACGUUAUCCGGAAUCAUUGGGCGUAAAGGGUGCGUAGAUGGCAUAAUAAGUUAUUAGUGGGAAAUCGAGGCUCAACCUCGUGGAAGCUGGUAAUACUGUUUUGCUUGAGUGCAGGAGAGGUUAACGGAACUCCAUGUGGAGCGGUAAAAUGCGUAGAUAUAUGGAAGAACAUCAAUAACGGCGAAGGCAGUUAACUAUUCUGUUACUGACAUUGAGGCACGAAAGCGUGGGGAGCAAAACGG
This 256-nucleotide ribosomal RNA is filed under the name uncultured bacterium. RNAcentral describes it as "partial 16S ribosomal RNA". It matches the Rfam family "Bacterial small subunit ribosomal RNA", at positions 524 to 776 of the family's 1533-position model. The record is from RNAcentral.